RNAcentral lists this ribosomal RNA (530 nucleotides) under uncultured bacterium. Its description in RNAcentral is "bacterial SSU rRNA". It matches the Rfam family "Bacterial small subunit ribosomal RNA", at positions 9 to 539 of the family's 1533-position model. The record is from RNAcentral.
GAGUUUGAACCUGGCUCAGGAUGAACGCUGGCGGCGUGCCUAACACAUGCAAGUCGAACGGACUUAUUUUGGAAACUCUUUCGGGAGCGGAAUUCAUAAGUUAGUGGCGGACGGGUGAGUAACGCGUGAGCAAUCUGCCCUUAGGUGGGGGAUAACAGCCGGAAACGGCUGCUAAUACCGCAUAACGCAGUGAGAUCGCAUGAUUUUGCUGCCAAAGAUUUAUUGCCUUUGGAUGAGCUCGCGUCUGAUUAGCUAGUUGGUGGGGUAACGGCCUACCAAGGCGACGAUCAGUAGCCGGACUGAGAGGUUGAACGGCCACAUUGGGACUGAGAUACGGCCCAGACUCCUACGGGAGGCAGCAGUCGGGAAUAUUGCGCAAUGGAGGAAACUCUGACGCAGUGACGCCGCGUAUAGGAGGAAGGUUUUCGGAUUGUAAACUAUUGUCAUCAGGGAAGAUAAAAGACAGUACCUGAGGAGGAAGCUCCGGCUAACUAUGUGCCAGCAGCCGCGGUAAUACAUAGGGAGCAAGC